CUAACGAUUGAUCUAGUUACUUAGAAAGAUGAAGAUUAUGAUAAAAUUUAUUAUUUUAUAAAAAAUAAUAAAAUGAAAAAUAAUAAUGAAGAAUAUAAAAUCUAAAUAUAAUAAAAAAUAAUGAUAAAAAAUAAUAUUGAAGUCUUAACAAAAAUUAGUGCCAGCAGUUGCGGCUAAACUAAGGAGGCAAAUGUUAAUCAUUAAAGGCUUAAAGGAUCCGUAGAAUGAUAUAUAUAUUAUAUAUAAUAGAGUUAUAUUAAAGAAUAAUGAAUAAUUAUAAUGAGAGAUGAAAUCCAAUGAUAAUAAUUAGACAAACAAUAUUGAAAAUAUUAUUCAAAAUAUUAACUGACAUUGAGGGAUGAAGGCAUGAGUAGCAAAACGGAUUAGAUACCCGAGUAGUUCAUGCAGUAAACGAUGAAUACUAAAUAAUAAUAAAAAUUAUAAGUGAAAACUAAAGUAUUCCGCCAGGUGAG
RNAcentral lists this ribosomal RNA (473 nucleotides) under Ogataea trehaloabstinens. RNAcentral describes it as "partial small subunit ribosomal RNA". The stretch from base 206 to 466 matches the Rfam family "Bacterial small subunit ribosomal RNA", at positions 557 to 873 of the family's 1533-position model. The record is from RNAcentral. Lineage: Eukaryota; Fungi; Ascomycota; Pichiomycetes; Pichiales; Pichiaceae.